RNAcentral lists this ribosomal RNA (544 nucleotides) under Salmonella enterica. RNAcentral's name for it is "partial 23S ribosomal RNA". It matches the Rfam family "Bacterial large subunit ribosomal RNA", at positions 646 to 1191 of the family's 2925-position model. RNAcentral also lists the same sequence under 2 other names. The record is from RNAcentral. Lineage: Bacteria; Pseudomonadati; Pseudomonadota; Gammaproteobacteria; Enterobacterales; Enterobacteriaceae.
UUAACCGUAUAGGGGAGCCGGAGGGAAACCGAGUCUUAACCGGGCGUUAAGUUGCAGGGUAUAGACCCGAAACCCGGUGAUCUAGCCAUGGGCAGGUUGAAGGUUGGGUAACACUAACUGGAGGACCGAACCGACUAAUGUUGAAAAAUUAGCGGAUGACCUGUGGCUGGGGGUGAAAGGCCAAUCAAACCGGGAGAUAGCUGGUUCUCCCCGAAAGCUAUUUAGGUAGCGCCUCGUGAAUUCAUCUCCGGGGGUAGAGCACUGUUUCGGCUAGGGGGCCAUCCCGGCUUACCAACCCGAUGCAAACUGCGAAUACCGGAGAAUGUUAUCACGGGAGACACACGGCGGGUGCUAACGUCCGUCGUGAAGAGGGAAACAACCCAGACCGCCAGCUAAGGUCCCAAAGUCAUGGUUAAGUGGGAAACGAUGUGGGAAGGCCCAGACAGCCAGGAUGUUGGCUUAGAAGCAGCCAUCAUUUAAAGAAAGCGUAAUAGCUCACUGGUCGAGUCGGCCUGCGCGGAAGAUGUAACGGGGCUAAACCAUG